UUCCACGGUGCAGAGACGCGAAAGGCAGGAGCUGCCUCGCGACCGCCACUAGCCCCCUAGCACGCACGUGCUCCGGAACCAGCUGGAACGGGCGCGCGAGUUACGGGAAAGGCGUUUGGGUCUGGAGACGGUACUGAGAGAAGAUGGGACGGCUCCUUCCUGGGAAAGGAGCCGCCAGGUGCUCAAAUCCACCAAUCCGUGAACAAUCCCCCAGUCCUUGCUGCCCCCCAGCCACCGGUGAAAAGGAGCCAAUCAGAAGUACCUAGACAAAAGCCAAUUGAGUGGGCGGAGAAAAGAAGUCCAGCCAAUACCAAGAAGAAGAAAAGAAUAUUAACCAAUAUCACCCCAAUAUAUUCAAUAAAAAUUUUU
Long non-coding RNA from Phyllostomus discolor (pale spear-nosed bat), 369 nucleotides. RefSeq lists it as uncharacterized. NCBI's taxonomy places the organism in Eukaryota, Metazoa, Chordata, Mammalia, Chiroptera, Phyllostomidae. The record is from RefSeq and is a predicted model, not a curated record. The transcript is spliced from 2 exons.